This 421-nucleotide long non-coding RNA is filed under the name Coturnix japonica (Japanese quail). Its description in RNAcentral is "lncRNA (ENSCJPG00005019693.1)". The record is from RNAcentral. Lineage: Eukaryota; Metazoa; Chordata; Aves; Galliformes; Phasianidae.
CUGAGUCAUAGAAAUUCAAAACAGACCAAAAUAAAUCCUGUCUCUGUCUCCAAAUCUCAGUUCUUCAGAGAGGGUUCCUUCUGCUUUUCUAAAUCAUGUGGAUGGGCCAUGGAAGACCAGCUCUUGCCGACAGGGCAUUUCCCAGUCUGCUUUCCAAGCGAGGAGCCAAUUCUGACACCAUCCAAAACUUCAGUGAAUCUCAAUGCACAGCCUCACAGAAAUUAUUUUGCCAUGAAACACAAGAGAAUUAUUUCAUCUGCCAUGAAGUGACUUGUGGACAUCCUACGUGCCUUAAGAAAUGCAGGCCAAUGGAAAAAGGCUUGAACAGGGGCCAUAGAUAAGUAAUGGCAGUCUGGAGAAUACUUUCAAAGAAUGGUUCAGACUAAAUAAAUCCAUGGGCUAUGCCUUUCCUGGGCUAAGC